This 840-nucleotide ribosomal RNA is filed under the name uncultured archaeon. RNAcentral's name for it is "bacterial SSU rRNA". It matches the Rfam family "Archaeal small subunit ribosomal RNA", at positions 85 to 923 of the family's 1478-position model. The record is from RNAcentral.
ACUGCUCAGUAACACGUGGAUAACCUGCCCUUGGGUCCGGCAUAACCCCGGGAAACUGGGGAUAAUUCCGGAUAACGCAUAUGUGCUGGAAUGCUUUAUGCGUAAAAUGGAUUCGUCUGCCCAAGGAUGGGUCUGCGGCCUAUCAGGUAGUAGUGGGUGUAAUGUACCUACUAGCCAGCGACGGGUACGGGUUGUGAGAGCAAGAGCCCGGAGAUGGAUUCUGAGACAUGAAUCCAGGCCCUACGGGGCGCAGCAGGCGCGAAAACUUUACAAUGCGGGAAACCGUGAUAAGGGGACACCGAGUGCCAGCAUCAUAUGCUGGCUGUCCGGGUGUGUAAAAUACACCUGUUAGCAAGGGCCGGGCAAGACCGGUGCCAGCCGCCGCGGUAACACCGGCGGCCCGAGUGGUGAUCGUGAUUAUUGGGUCUAAAGGGUCCGUAGCCGGUUUGGUCAGUCCUCCGGGAAAUCUGAUAGCUCAACUAUUAGGCUUUCGGGGGAUACUGCCAGGCUUGGAACCGGGAGAGGUAAGAGGUACUACAGGGGUAGGAGUGAAAUCUUGUAAUCCCUGUGGGACCACCUGUGGCGAAGGCGUCUUACCAGAACGGGUUCGACGGUGAGGGACGAAAGCUGGGGGCACGAACCGGAUUAGAUACCCGGGUAGUCCCAGCCGUAAACGAUGCUCGCUAGGUGUCAGGCAUGGCGCGACCGUGUCUGGUGCCGCAGGGAAGCCGUGAAGCGAGCCACCUGGGAAGUAUGGCCGCAAGGCUGAAACUUAAAGGAAUUGGCGGGGGAGCACAACAACGGGUGGAGCCUGCGGUUUAAUUGGAUUCAACGCCGGGA